AUGGUGGUGGAUGCCCUGGCCUCUAUCCUCGACAAGGCCAAGGAUGCCGGCCAUAUCCGCAGCAUCGUAUCCGAUCUAGUCAGAGGGGGAGGGGUCUCCCUCCUUCAAUAUGCGGAUGAUACCAUAAUAAUGGUUGAGGGGUCUGUUCAGGACAUAGCUAACCUAAAGUUCCUCCUCCUGUGCUUCCAACAGAUGUUGGGACUAACCAUAAACUUUGAUAAGAGCAAAGUGAUGGUUCUUGGGUACCCCCCGUUGGAAGCACAGGCUAUCGCAGACCGACUAAAUUGUCGGUUGGGUUCUUUCCCCACGACCUACCUGGGGAUCCCCAUUAGUGAUUCGCGCUUCACCGUGGCGGAUCUUCGCCCCACGGUGACCCCUAUGCAACACCGCAUUGAGCCCUGGAAAGGGUGCUGGUUGUCGAAGGCUGCGCGCGUGAUCCUCAUCAACUCCUCACUUGCCAACCUUCUAUGGUUCCUCAUGAGCUUCUAUAGCCUCCAUGAGACGCUUCAUAAGGAAAUUGCCAAGUACCAGUCCAGAUUCUUCUGGGCUGGCGAGGAUGAUAAGCAAAAGUACCACAUGGUGAGCUGA
This 588-nucleotide ribosomal RNA is filed under the name Triticum aestivum (bread wheat). RNAcentral describes it as "partial small subunit ribosomal RNA". The record is from RNAcentral. Lineage: Eukaryota; Viridiplantae; Streptophyta; Magnoliopsida; Poales; Poaceae.